GGACUGGGCCCAAAGCCGGAAGCUGCCCUGGGGAGUGUGGGAGCGGGCACGACAGCAAACGGCCAACAUCAGACAGCAAAGCCCACAGCCAGCAGCCACACUGCCUCUGGAAUGGAGGCCACGCCCGAACUGUGCAGACCACAGAGGUCCCCAUGCCCGAAGGACAGGAGGAAGGAGCGGAUGCACUCCACCCAGGAUGGAGGCCAGGAGCUCACUCAGGACCGAGAGCCGCUCCUACCUCUCCGAUCAGGUACUUGAGGCUGGCCCAGGGGAUCCGGGGGUCACACUGCUGGAAGGCUUUCAUUAAGUACGUGUUCAGAAUCUCCAUGCAGACCUUAAAGGAGAGGAACAGAAGGGCUAACCUGAACCAGACCACCAGUCCUUCACAGCCAAGUCUUAUCUCAAAAGUGGGCAGAAGCCGGGCGGGUGGUGCACGCCUGCGACCCCAGCGGAAGACUCGCAACUCAAGCCCAGCCUGGGCACCUUAGCAAGGCUGUUUGCAAAAAUAUUUUGGAAUUUAGAAAGGGCCGAGGAUGUUUAUACCUCAGUGCAAGGCCCCCUGUUCAACCCUCAGCACCGAAAAACAAACAAAAAGCGGGCAGGACCCAGCUGCCAGAAGCACACCGCCGGGGUGGCAUCGGGGCGGCGCUGGCCACUCCGCACCUGGAAGUCCGACUCGGUGAAGUCGUAGUAGACGUUCCAGCCGAUCUUGCCGAACUUCCCCCUCUCCUGCACCACGGCAUGGAAGAAGGCCAGCACAUAGACCAGAGGCUUGAAGGCGGGAGGCAGAGCCCCGAACUUAGGGAUAGGGCUGGGCCGGAAGGGCCACGGAAGACGCGCUUCUGGGUCUCCCUGCUCCCCAGUGCCAAGUCUCCGGGUCAAGGUCCCAGGCAGACGAGUCACAGGACCAGGUGCUGUCCCAGUGUGGCCACUGGUCGUGAGAAGGUCCUCAGACCCCGGGUCCUCAGCUGUCAAAAGCAAGUCCCUGGCUCUUCCCCACCUGCCCCAGAGAAAGGGAGGUGACAGAACCUUCCCAAAACAAUUUCCUGAGAACAAAUUACAGGGCGUGUGAAGAUCCCUUGGACUCCAGCACACACCGGGGGCCAGGGCGCCUCCGUCCCUGGGGC
Molecule: long non-coding RNA, 1127 nt
Filed under: Heterocephalus glaber (naked mole-rat)
Lineage: Eukaryota; Metazoa; Chordata; Mammalia; Rodentia; Bathyergidae
Description: lncRNA (ENSHGLG00100046318.1)
Source: RNAcentral